GGUGGCGUGCUUAACACAUGCAAGUCGAACGGAAAGGCCCUGCUUUUGUGGGGUGCUCGAGUGGCGAACGGGUGAGUAACACGUGAGUAACCUGCCCUUGACUUUGGGAUAACUUCAGGAAACUGGGGCUAAUACCGGAUAGGAGCUCCUGCUGCAUGGUGGGGGUUGGAAAGUUUCGGCGGUUGGGGAUGGACUCGCGGCUUAUCAGCUUGUUGGUGGGGUAGUGGCUUACCAAGGCUUUGACGGGUAGCCGGCCUGAGAGGGUGACCGGCCACAUUGGGACUGAGAUACGGCCCAGACUCCUACGGGAGGCAGCAGUGGGGAAUAUUGCACAAUGGGCGGAAGCCUGAUGCAGCAACGCCGCGUGCGGGAUGACGGCCUUCGGGUUGUAAACCGCUUUCGCCUGUGACGAAGCGUGAGUGACGGUAAUGGGUAAAGAAGCACCGGCUAACUACGUGCCAGCAGCCGCGGUGAUACGUAGGGUGCGAGCGUUGUCCGGAUUUAUUGGGCGUAAAGGGCUCGUAGGUGGUUGAUCGCGUCGGAAGUGUAAUCUUGGGGCUUAACCCUGAGCGUGCUUUCGAUACGGGUUGACUUGAGGAAGGUAGGGGAGAAUGGAAUUCCUGGUGGAGCGGUGGAAUGCGCAGAUAUCAGGAGGAACACCAGUGGCGAAGGCGGUUCUCUGGGCCUUUCCUGACGCUGAGGAGCGAAAGCGUGGGGAGCGAACAGGCUUAGAUACCCUGGUAGUCCACGCUGUAAACGGUGGGUACUAGGUGUGGGGUCCAUUCCACGGGUUCCGUGCCGUAGCUAACGCUUUAAGUACCCCGCCUGGGGAGUACGGCCGCAAGGCUAAAACUCAAAGGAAUUGACGGGGCCCCGCACAAGCGGCGGAGCAUGCGGAUUAAUUCGAUGCAACGCGUAGAACCUUACCUGGGUUUGACAUGGAUCGGGAGUGCUCAGAGAUGGGUGUGCCUCUUUUGGGGUCGGUUCACAGGUGGUGCAUGGCUGUCGUCAGCUCGUGUCGUGAGAUGUUGGGUUAAGUCCCGCAACGAGCGCAACCCUUGUUCACUGUUGCCAGCACGUUAUGGUGGGGACUCAGUGGAGACCGCCGGGGUCAACUCGGAGGAAGGUGGGGAUGACGUCAAGUCAUCAUGCCCCUUAUGUCCAGGGCUUCACGCAUGCUACAAUGGCUGGUACAGAGAGUGGCGAGCCUGUGAGGGUGAGCGAAUCUCGGAAAGCCGGUCUCAGUUCGGAUUGGGGUCUGCAACUCGACCUCAUGAAGUCGGAGUCGCUAGUAAUCGCAGAUCAGCAACGCUGCGGUGAAUACGUUCCCGGGGCUUGUACACACCGCCCGUCAAGUCAUGAAAGUUGGUAACACCCGAAGCCGGUGGCCUAACCGUUGUGGGGGAGCCGUCGAAGGUGGGACUGGUGAUUAGGAC
RNAcentral lists this ribosomal RNA (1436 nucleotides) under uncultured organism. RNAcentral's name for it is "partial small subunit ribosomal RNA". It matches the Rfam family "Bacterial small subunit ribosomal RNA". The record is from RNAcentral.